CGAGUCCGAGUCUCCACGGAGACGAAGUGGCGGUCAUCCAGCUUCCUAGAAAAGCUCUAACCACGUUAAUCUUUAGUUGCCUGUACCCGAAACCGACACAGGUAGGGGGGUAGAGAAUACCAAGGGGCGCGAGAUAACUCUCUCUAAGGAACUCGGCAAAAUGACCCCGUAACUUCGGGAGAAGGGGUACCACUGAGAAGUGGUCGCAGUGAAGAGGCCCAGGCGACUGUUUACCAAAAACACAGGUCUCCGCCAAGUCGCAAGACGAAGUAUGGGGGCUGACGCCUGCCCAGUGCCGGAAGGUUAAGGAAGUGGGUUAGGGAUUCGUCCCGAAGCUGACGACUGAAGCCCCGGUGAACGGCGGCCGUAACUAUAACGGUCCUAAGGUAGCGAAAUUCCUUGUCGGGUAAGUUCCGACCCGCACGAAAGGCGUUACGAUCUGGGCGCUGUCUCGGAGAGAGGCUCGGCGAAAUAGGAUUGUCUGUGAAGAUACGGACUACCUGCACCUGGACAGAAAGACCCUAUGAAGCUUUACUGUAGCUUGGAAUUGGGUUCGGGCUUGGUUUGCGCAGGAUAGGUGGGAGGCGAAGAAGAUUUGCUUGUGGGUGAAUCUGAGCCAACGGUGAGAUACCACUCUAACCAGGCUAGAAUUCUAACUUCAACCCGUCAACCGGGGGAAGGACAGUUUCAGGUGGGCAGUUUGACUGGGGCGGUCGCCUCCUAAAAGAUAACGGAGGCGCACAAAGGUUCCCUCAGGCUGGUUGGAAAUCAGCCAACGAGUGCAAAGGCAGAAGGGAGCUUGACUGCGAGACCUACAAGUCAAGCAGGGUGGAAACACGGUCUUAGUGAUCCGACGGCACCGAGUGGAAGGGCCGUCGUUCAACGGAUAAAAGUUACUCUAGGAUAACAGGCUGAUCUCCCCCAAGAGUUCACAUCGACGGGGAGGUUUGGCACCUCGAUGUCGGCUCAUCGCAACCUGGGGCGGAAGUACGUCCCAAGGGUUGGGCUGUUCGCCCAUUAAAGCGGUACGUGAGCUGGGUUCAGAACGUCGUGAGACAGUUCGGUCCAUAUCCGGUGUAGGCGCAAGAACAUUGAGAGGAGUCUUCCUUAGUACGAGAGGACCGGGAAGAACGCACCGCUGGUGUACCUGUUAUCGUGCCAACGGUAAACGCAGGGUAGCCAAGUGCGGAGUGGAUAACCGCUGAAAGCAUCUAAGUGGGAAGCCCACCUCAAGAUGAGUGUUCUCAUGGAGUAAUCCAGUAAGGUCACGGGAAGACGACCCGUUGAUAGGCGGUAGGUGGAAGUUCAGCAAUGGAUGAAGCCGAGCCGUACUAACAGACCGAGGGC
This 1347-nucleotide ribosomal RNA is filed under the name metagenome. Its description in RNAcentral is "bacterial LSU rRNA". It matches the Rfam family "Bacterial large subunit ribosomal RNA", at positions 1564 to 2912 of the family's 2925-position model. The record is from RNAcentral.